This 699-nucleotide long non-coding RNA is filed under the name Macaca mulatta (Rhesus monkey). Its description in RNAcentral is "lncRNA (ENSMMUG00000055387.1)". Lineage: Eukaryota; Metazoa; Chordata; Mammalia; Primates; Cercopithecidae. The record is from RNAcentral.
CCAGGGUGUGCCGAGGGUGGGAGGAGAUGCUGGCAGCCCUCCAGGGUGGAAUCUACCCUGUAACCUUGACCUAGGGAGUCAGUAGUCUGUGGUGUCAGAAGGUGGCAUUAAAUCAGAGGGCUCAGGAAUCCAUAGUCAGGAGGAACAGAAAAUCAAAAAAAAAAAAAGGAAAAAAAAAUAGAGGCUCUCUAGAAGGGGCCACUUCAGUUGGUGUUGUUUUCAUGCAGGGAGAAAGCAUUCCGCUGCCAAUAGCUCUGCAUUUAUUCAUCUGCCUCUCAAGUUCUCCCGGCCAGCACUGUGCUAGGUUUUACGGCUACUACAAAGAUGAAUGAAAGGUGUUCCCUCCCUGUUCACACCCACGCUCUUGCCUUGCAGGCCUCGCUGCUGAGCACCCGCAGCCUGAUUCCUGGUUUCCUGGGGGCCUUGGGUACAUCCAGGGAGCUCCUGGGACACCUGGAGCAGGCCGCAAGUUGGAACUGGGAUGUAAUCACCCUGCUCGUCUCCUAUGUGGACAAUGAAUGUCUUCCUCUGAGACUCAACGGUGUCACACAUGGUGGCCCCAGUGUGGCACGGCACUCCCUGUGGCCAUCUUCUUAUGCUGAGGAUAAGCGUAAAUGUACUGAAAUAGCCAAAGCAAAGUUUCAACAGCAUCUGGGCAUACUAACUUUUCAAAUGACUACAAGUUUAGGGGUGAACUAG